RNAcentral lists this ribosomal RNA (433 nucleotides) under uncultured bacterium. RNAcentral's name for it is "partial 16S ribosomal RNA". It matches the Rfam family "Bacterial small subunit ribosomal RNA", at positions 29 to 507 of the family's 1533-position model. The record is from RNAcentral.
AACGAACGCUGGCGGCAGGCCUAACACAUGCGAGUCGAGCGAGGACUUCGGUCCUAGCGGCGGACGGGUGAGUAACGCGUGGGAACGUUCCCUUUGCUUCGGGAUAGCCCUGGGAAACUGGGACUAAUACCGGAUAAGCCCCUUGGGGGCAAGGUUUAUCGGCGAAGGACCGUCCCGCGUUGGAUUAGGUAGUGAGUGAGGUAAUGGCCUACCAAGCCGACGAUCCAUAGCUGGCUUGUGAGGAUGAUCAGCCACACUGGGACUGGGAAGCGGCAGAGAAUCCUACGCGAGGGAGCAGUGGGGGAUGUUAGACAAUGGGGGAAACCAUGAUCUAGCCAGGACGGGUGAGCGAUGAAGGCCGUAGGGUUGGAAAGCUCUUGCAGCUGGGAAGAUAAUGACGGUACCAGCAGAAGAAGCCCCGGCUAACUCCGUG